RNAcentral lists this ribosomal RNA (253 nucleotides) under uncultured bacterium. Its description in RNAcentral is "partial 16S ribosomal RNA". It matches the Rfam family "Bacterial small subunit ribosomal RNA", at positions 524 to 776 of the family's 1533-position model. The record is from RNAcentral.
UACGAAGGGGGCUAGCGUUGUUCGGAUUUACUGGGCGUAAAGCGCACGUAGGCGGGUUGUUAAGUCAGGGGUGAAAUCCUGGAGCUCAACUCCAGAACUGCCUUUGAUACUGGCAACCUAGAGGCUGGAAGAGGUUAGUGGAAUUCCCAGUGUAGAGGUGAAAUUCGUAGAUAUUGGGAAGAACACCAGUGGCGAAGGCGACUGACUGGACAAGUAUUGACGCUGAGGUGCGAAAGCGUGGGGAGCAAACAGG